UUGAGCGGAUGACAAAAUGGGGUGUUUUGACAAAAUGAAUUUUAUUUAAAAAAAAUCUACACAUUUUUGAGGCAUGCCAUAGAACAAGUUUUUUACUGAGAAUGUCGUUCUGCGUCAAAAAGGUGAAAAUGCUCAUGUCUAAUUGCCUCCGUGAAUUGUGUAGAACCAAUUAAGUCUACCUAAAUAUUCACUAGUUUUAU
Molecule: long non-coding RNA, 200 nt
Organism: Bradysia coprophila
Lineage: Eukaryota; Metazoa; Arthropoda; Insecta; Diptera; Sciaridae
Source: RefSeq, a predicted model, not a curated record